Long non-coding RNA from Suricata suricatta (meerkat), 268 nucleotides. RefSeq lists it as uncharacterized. Lineage: Eukaryota; Metazoa; Chordata; Mammalia; Carnivora; Herpestidae. The transcript is spliced from 2 exons. The record is from RefSeq and is a predicted model, not a curated record.
GGGCAAGAAUAUGGGCGUUGGAGCCAGGUAAAUCUGAGUAUAAACACCUUCCUAGCUGCAUGACUGCUGGGACAUGCAUGUGUAGUGGUGAGCCAGCUUUUACCAAACAGAUGAGGACGGCACAAUGGAUGAUUAAAUGGUGGAGUAAUGGGACCGAAGGAAGGUCCCUGGAUAACUGAGUGAAGCCGAGCCACCUGCACCCUGGACCUUCUGCCUGCCUCUGUUGUGUUUUGUGAGAGAGAAAUAAACCUCCAGCUUGUUCAAGCCA